Molecule: ribosomal RNA, 279 nt
Filed under: uncultured bacterium
Lineage: Bacteria
Description: partial 16S ribosomal RNA
Rfam family: Bacterial small subunit ribosomal RNA
Source: RNAcentral
UGCCAGCAGCCGCGGUAAUACGGAAGGUGCGAGCGUUAAUCGGAAUUACUGGGCGCAAAGCGCACGUAGGUGGCUUGGUAAGUCGGAUGUGAAAGCCCUGGGCUCAACCUGGGAAUUGCAUUCGAUACUGCUUAGCUAGAGUAUGAGAGAGGGUAGUGGAAUUCCGGGUGUAGCGGUGAAAUGCGUAGAUAUCCGGAGGAACACCAGUGGCGAAGGCGGCUUUCUGGACCGAUACUGACGCUGAGACGCGAAAGCGUGGGGAGCAAACAGGAUUAGAUA